RNAcentral lists this ribosomal RNA (402 nucleotides) under uncultured bacterium. RNAcentral's name for it is "bacterial SSU rRNA". It matches the Rfam family "Bacterial small subunit ribosomal RNA", at positions 362 to 758 of the family's 1533-position model. The record is from RNAcentral.
UAUUGGACAAUGGGCGCGAGCCUGAUCCAGCAAUACCGCGUGUGUGAAGAAGGCCUUAGGGUUGUAAAGCACUUUCAAUUGGGAGGAAAACCUGCCGGUCAAUACCCGGUAGCUUGACAUUACCUUUAGAAGAAGCACCGGCUAACUCCGUGCCAGCAGCCGCGGUAAUACGGAGGGUGCGAGCGUUAAUCGGAAUUACUGGGCGUAAAGCGUGCGUAGGCGGUUCGUUAAGUCAGAUGUGAAAGCCCUGGGCUCAACCUGGGAACUGCAUUUGAAACUGGCGGACUAGAGUUUAGUAGAGGGGAGUGGAAUUUCAGGUGUAGCGGUGAAAUGCGUAGAUAUCUGAAGGAACACCAGUGGCGAAGGCGACUCCCUGGACUAGAACUGACGCUGAGUACGAAA